Molecule: long non-coding RNA, 1818 nt
Organism: Homo sapiens (human)
Lineage: Eukaryota; Metazoa; Chordata; Mammalia; Primates; Hominidae
Source: Ensembl
CCGUGACUCACCGCGCCUCCCUCUACGCUCAUCCCUCCACUCCCUCCCUGACCCCCGCCGGCCGGGGGCGCCCGGCACACGCCGCAGCUCCCGCAGCCUCCCCGAGGGGGGAGCCCGAGGAGGAAGGCGACAAAUGUCACCUGCUCCGGCCACGCGAGGAACUUCUGAAAAGUUCUCAGGCAACUGGGUCAAAAGGAAACUCACCCGCGGACGCACGCCCCCGUCGCCUCGCCGCUCGCGCGCAAGCCCGGCUCUGUCCCCACUCGCGCCGAGCUCGGGGAGCCGUGACUUCUCUCGGGGUUACCGCGGCGGGCGGGGGAGGGGAGCAGAAAACCUGCGACUCCCGCCGGCCGGGCCCCCGGCCCCCGACUCCGGCCGCGGCACGCCGUCAGAGCCGGGCAGCUCCAGCCCCCGCGCCCGCUCAGGGUGCCGGGGAGUGAACGGCAGGAGGCAGGAGCGGCAGUGCCACUCGCGCUGAAUGCCCCCUCCCCAAAGUCCCGUCCUGCCGGGCCCGAGGCCCCUCGGCGCUCACCUGCAAUCCGGACGCUCGCGGAGGACAACGACGCGACCCGCGUCCCGGCCGGGGACGCCCCCUGCGCCGCGACUCUGUGCGCUCGGCCCGGCAGCCGUCGGUCCAGCCGCCCCUCGCUCUGCGCGUCCGGCAGCGGCGGCGGCGGCGGGAGACUGCCUGCGCCCAGCCCCGCCCGCCGCUCCGCCCUCCUCGUCAGUGGAAAACUCCGGGGCUCACUGCGCUGACGCACGCCGGGCCUCCAGCCAGGCCGCCCGGCAGCCCCGCCCCGGAGGCGCCGCCUCCUCCCCCGCCUGGAGCCUGGCGCAGCGGCCUGGGGGCCUCCCUGCGGACUGUGACCCGGCGACUGCGCCUCCGCCGCUCUCCGCCCCCAGCCCUCUCCCGCCAGCGCCCUCCCCGCCCCGCUUCCAGCACGGUCCCUAAAGGCGCGGACGACUCAAGCCGGCAGAGCCGAGCGUAGAGAUCCCCACCUCGCCCCACCGCCCCAGUUUACAGAUGGGUAGACCGAGGCCGGGAGCACCUCGUAACUCCGCAAGGCCACGGGCUAGACAGUGGCAGAGCCGACGUCUCCUGUACGCUCUCCACCCCCACCCCUCUAGAGGGAGUUUAUUUUAUUCCAAUCUAAAAGUUCCCCCCUCCGCCCCCAACCUACCACCCACCCCCAGAUCCGCCGGAAAAGUAAACUGUGGCUGGAGAGGAAUCUGGGGUGUGUGGGGAGCGGGGAGGCAGGGAGCGGGAAGGAUGGAUGUAAUCAGUGGGCCUGAACUUCAUUCCUGCCCACGGGCCAAGAGACCCUUCCCUGCAGAAGUUCCAAACUAGGGGUUCUUAGAACUAGCUUCCCCACUCCCACCUCAACCUUCCCUUAAAAAAAUAAAAAGGCUGGUUUCUUCCGGGCCAGAUCUUGGCCACUUAAAAUGGUCCACUGCCUUCUCUGCUCCCGCCAAGGCCUUUCCUGACUCGGGGCCAACCCUCCCGGUACGACAUGCCCCGGCAACCAAGUCCUGGCCUGGGAGCCCACCCUCAGCCCCACUUCCCAACCGCAGGUACGAGUCUACUCAUCACCUCGAGCGUUUCCACCCUCACGCUUUUACUGCAGCCGGUCUUCUCGACUGGAAUGCUCUCCUGCCCUCUCUCUGCUUACCAGAAUCCCAAUGCCUUUAAGGGCUCAGCUUGCACUGCCUCCUCCAGGGAGCCUUCGUGGGAGCCUGACCCUCCCCCUCCCAGUCCUGCUCCCGCUGCAUUCUGGGUUCUUCUGACUGUCCUAGAUGAAUGCUGUCAGCCACUAGCCC